This 676-nucleotide unclassified non-coding RNA is filed under the name Hevea brasiliensis (rubber tree). The record is from RNAcentral. Lineage: Eukaryota; Viridiplantae; Streptophyta; Magnoliopsida; Malpighiales; Euphorbiaceae.
AAUAAAAGAACCCUAGAAGUUACAUAGAAGUAAAUGACAUCUUUAUGGGUGUUUAGCCAAACCACAGAACAAUGCAUUAGGAGGGAUGUCAUUCUCAGUAAAGAUGCUGUGUUCAUUGUUCCAAACCCUAACAUACAAUUGUUGCCCUAGAUAUCGUCUUGACCAGAUUGCAGACCUCAAAUUCCACAUUCCCUUAUUGUCCAAUGACACCAGUACUGCACUCCAAGAUUUGGGAUACACCUGUGACAAAUUGGGGUUUGUGUGCCUAAGUUAGUAUGCUUCAGAAAGAAUUUUCAAGAUAUUAUAAAGGAUUUUGUAAGAUGUUUAGAAAGUCUCUUUUACUCACCUGGACAGUGUGUCUAGAAACAGCAUCGUUCAAAUUGUAAAACUUCUUUCGCUUAUCAGGGGUCCAUACACCGGAGCCGUACCUGCAAUUUUAGAGAUCAAAUUAAACAAUGAAAUAUAUAUUUGUUAGGCCUGAAAAAAAGAGGUUGGAAGAGGAUUGCCAAGAAUUAUGAAAUAAGAUAAUUAGUGCAGUGAGUCACUACAGAAAGUGAAUGAAUAGAAUAUAAUUGCAGUAAGAAGCUGAAUAAUAUAAUACAAAGUCACCAAUAAGCUUUAGUUCAGUGGUUCUAGAGUCGUCUCCAGAACUGUGAAGUUUCAAUUUCGUAUUCUA